CAGGUUCCUGUAUGAUCACAGAAAUUAAGCAACAUUGAGCCUGGUCAGUGCUUAGAUGGGUGACCAUUUGGGAAUGCUAGGUGCUGUA
Acanthosepion pharaonis is the source of this 88-nucleotide non-coding RNA. The record is from the annotation of a GenBank genome assembly. Lineage: Eukaryota; Metazoa; Mollusca; Cephalopoda; Sepiida; Sepiidae.